RNAcentral lists this ribosomal RNA (301 nucleotides) under uncultured bacterium. RNAcentral's name for it is "partial 16S ribosomal RNA". It matches the Rfam family "Bacterial small subunit ribosomal RNA", at positions 509 to 807 of the family's 1533-position model. The record is from RNAcentral.
CAGUCGCCGCGGGAAUACGGAGGGGGCUAGCGUUGUUCGGAAUUACUGGGCGUAAAGCGCGCGUAGGCGGUUACUCAAGUCAGAGGUGAAAGCCCGGGGCUCAACCCCGGAACUGCCUUUGAAACUAGGUGACUAGAAUCUUGGAGAGGUCAGUGGAAUUCCGAGUGUAGAGGUGAAAUUCGUAGAUAUUCGGAAGAACACCAGUGGCGAAGGCGACUGACUGGACAAGUAUUGACGCUGAGGUGCGAAAGCGUGGGGAGCAAACAGGAUUAGAGACCCCAGUAGUCCCUGUCUCUUAUAC